AUGGGAUGGAGUUGAUGUUUAUCAUAGCCACCAACUGUUGGCACAGGAAAGAGGGUCUUGCCAUAUAGCCUGAACUUGGGAACAUUCCUGGCUGAGCCCUUUUCAAUAGUAAGCACAGCAAAAGAGAACUAGAAGCUAAUUCCUUAUCUUCCUCUUUUCACCCCAAAAUGUAGUGGGCAUUUCCCUUCUAGUCUUGUCCUCUACAUGAGCCAGCUCCUGUGAGAACUUUAGCCUUGCAGAUGGGGUUCAGCUGGGCUCUUCACCAAGACAGGCACCUGCUGCCAUUUCUCCUUGGUGAGAUUCACAGAUUUAUACAGGAGAAAGAUGGGUCAUCACCGCAUGAACAAAUGCCCCUCUCCUGUAUAUCACUGGCUUCCCGUUAUCUUCAGCAUGAAAUCCCAACUUCUUAAAGGUCAUGGACACAAGAUGUCAGCUCUGCCCAUCUCUUUCUACUUCUUCUCCCCAACUCUAUGCAUCCUCUCAUUUACUUUCUUCGAUCUCACUGGCCUUUCUAUGCCCUUGGACCUUUUCAUCUGAUGAAGAUCAAAUGGUCAUAAAGGCCUUCAACAGAGCUGCAGAGAUGUAACCAGGCAGCCGAGGGAGUACUGGCCAUCAAUUCUAAUAAGUAUAUUGACUGGUGUCUGGUCACCUACAGAGAUACUUCUGUCCCCAAGAGUUUGGGACAUAAACUUACCAGGAAUCCACUGUGAUGAUCCACAAAUUUACUCAUGAGAGUUAAAUCUGAUCAUGUCAUCACUUGGUGUAAUGAAACACUAUAAAAAACAUAAUUAAAUAUGAGUAGGAGCCAGGCCAUUUCCUUAGCCCUCAGGAUGAAUACUUUGUGAAGACAUUCUAAAUGUCAAUGA
Molecule: long non-coding RNA, 866 nt
Filed under: Mus spretus (western wild mouse)
Lineage: Eukaryota; Metazoa; Chordata; Mammalia; Rodentia; Muridae
Description: lncRNA (ENSMSPG00010027481.1)
Source: RNAcentral